Molecule: long non-coding RNA, 5707 nt
Organism: Eriocheir sinensis (Chinese mitten crab)
Lineage: Eukaryota; Metazoa; Arthropoda; Malacostraca; Decapoda; Varunidae
Exons: 2
Source: RefSeq, a predicted model, not a curated record
CAAACCACCUGUCACCAGCCCCUGACACAUUCCAGGACAACAACAACAACAACAGCCAAAUCCAAAAGAAAAGAACAAAAUAAGCCAAAAUGAAGAAAAGAAAAUAGAAAACAAAGUCAGUGGAAGCAAAGGGAACAGAAGAAAAUAGAGCUUCAACCUGCCCCGAGAGAGAUUUAGCAUGGGGGUGCAAGUUUUCCCCAGUACCAAAGGGGGCAUGAGGAGGCACUUUAAUGGUCUUGAGAAGGAAGAGGCUGUGUUAGUGGAAGCAAAGAGAACAGAAGAAAAUAGAGCUUCAAUUAACCUGCUCCGAGAGAUUUAGCAUGUGGGUGCAAGUUUUCCCCGGUACCAAAGGGGCCAUAAGAAGGCACUUUAAUGGUCUUGAGAAGGAGGAGGCUGUGUUAGUGGAAGCAAAGGGAGCAGAAAAAAAUGAGCUUCAACCUGCUCCGAGAGUCCAGAGAUUUAGCAUGGGGGUGCAAGUUUUCCCCGGUACCAAAGGGGCCAUAAGAAGGCACUUUAAUGGUCUUGAGAAGGAGGAGGCUGUGUUAGUGGAAGCAAAGGGAGCAGAAAAAAAUUGAGCUUCAACCUGCCCCGAGAGUCCAGAGAUUUAGCAUGGGGGUGCAAGUUUUCCCCGGUACCAAAGGGGCCAUAAGAAGGCACUUUAAUGGUCUUGAGAAGGAGGAGGCUGUGUUAGUGGAAGCAAAGAGAACAGAAGAAAAUAGAGCUUCAACCUGCUCCGAGAGUCCAGAGAUUUAGCAUGGGAGUGUAAGUUUUCCCUGGUACCAAAGGGGGCCAUAAGAAGGCACUUUAAUGGUCUUGAGAAGGAAGAGGCUGUGUGCAGAGAGGACUCACCAACUAUGCCUUCUAUUUGCUGGAGGUAUCAGGUGAUUGCAGUUGAAAGCAAGAGAUGGCAAGUAUAAUCUCCUGCCCUACUACAGCACUUAAUAUAUUAGUUGGUAUUACAAGACACUUUCGCUUCACACAUCAACUAUUUCUAAAGGUCAAAGAGGGGGUCAGUCGGGUUCUAAUGAGUGUUUCUUCAGGUUCACAGUACAGAGGAAGGGUCAAACUAGCAACAGGGUCAUAAAACUACUCCCGGAAAUGCCUACAACUCCUACGAAAGCCUUGUCAAAUAGGUGUUUUUGGGCCGUAUUUUAAGACACCAUCGCUUCUCACAUCAACUAUUUCUAAAGGUCAAAGAGGGGAUCAAUCUGUUUUCAUGAGUGUUUUUUAAGGUUCAUGGCACAGAAGAAGGGUCAAACUACCACCAGGGUCAUAAAACUACCCCUGGAAAGGCCUACAGCUCCUACAAAAGCCAUGUCAAAUAUGUGAACUUGGGCAACGAAAUGUUUUAAAAUACGACCCUUUAAGUAAGACACAUUCCUUCAAACCUUUCUAUCUAUCUGUCUAUAUCUCUGAUGCCCCAUUCCCUCAUGAGAACUUCCCUCCAGGGGGUGGCUGCAGAAGUGUCUCCAUCUCUCCCAGUUCAGGCACUCCCUCAGCACACUCAAUCCUGCUACUUCUUACUCUCUCAUUCCAAUACUCGCUCACCCUAUUGAUCCACUUCACAGGUGGUCUUCUGACCCUUCCCUUUUUUUUAAGAGGUUUGAAAGGUUUGAUCUGUCUGUCAAACCUUUCAAACCUCUUAAAAAUUAUAGAAAACAGGAUAAAUAUCAAAACUCAUGUAGAAUUACCAACAAUAUGUGCUUUGAUAAUGGUAAUGAAUCUUAUAUCAUAAUUUUCUCACCUGUUGAUUACUUUUUUGCUUACCUUGUCCUGAAUUCCACAGCCGCCUCAUCCUCAUCAUAUUCAGCCAUUACUAGGUCACUGUAGGAAGGCCUUUCUCAACACUCUGCACCACUCUUUCUGAUUGUACUUCAUCCUGUUCUGGCAAAUCCUCUAAUUUCACAUAUCCAUCUGGUCUUUGUCUAUCCCAUCCUCUACAAUCCACUCUGUUACUUUGGUUGUCCAUCUGUUACCAGUUCUCAUUAAAAUCUUCUGUCUGUUCUCGAUGCCAUCCUGCUUGGCUCAUUCUGUCCCACGUAGUUCAUUUUUUACCCUAUUUAGAGAGUUAAUUUACAGUCCAGGUUGAUAGGUGGUCUUCAGGACAGCAUGUGGGUAGUCUUAAGCCUCUCGGCGAUGAGUGAUAAUUGUCAACUUGAGGUGGCAGGCAAGACUAGAACACGGGUCCUCCAGGAUGCCGCACCUACAAGCUGACCACCCAGCCACUGCCUCUCCAAAGGAUGCUUGUUACUUGCAGUCUUUACCCAUUCACUGCAAUUGGCACAGAUUUGGCUUUCAUUGGUAGCCUGGUAACAUAUACUCCCAGUUCUUUCUCUGCCUCUGUGGUGGAUGGUGGAGUGUUUACCAUGUUGUAUUGGUAUGCUGGAUAUUCCCUCCCAAGUAGCAUGACUUUACAUUUUUCUUCAUUGAAUUGUAGCAGCCACUUUUUGUUCCAUUCCUGUAGCUUGGUGAUGUCUUCUUGUUGGAAAUCCACAGUCAAGGGGUUAAAAUUCCCAUCAUCCCAUUCAGUUUUUAUCAUGAUGAUUAAUUACUUACUAUCACCCUCCGUCCUCAUUCAUCUCUCCUACCGUAACGCCUCCAUGAUCUAGUGGUCAGAGUGCCUGGCUACCCCUCCACAGGCCUGGGUUCGAAUCCUGGCCUGGGCAGUUGCCGUGUAGUUCACCCAGCUGUUCAUCCUCCCUUUUGGGCUGGUCGAUAAAUGGGUACCUGGGGAAACCUGGGGAAGGUAAACUGUGGCAAUCCCGGAUUUCAUAUUGGCCCAUGUCCGGGGGUAACUGGUUCUUACCACCACAGGCUCAAAGGACCAACGGGCAGGAAAUGAGCAUCGCAGCCGCAUGCAGCUGUAGCGUAUGCACCAACCUUUACCUUUACCCUCCAUCCUCAUCCAUCUCUCCUACCAUUCUCUGAGGAUGAAUAGUUUCUUUAGGGAGAAUUAUUUAAGCAAUCCCGAAAAUGUGACUUUAUUCUAACAUUCUCCUUUCAGUGUACACAUAGGAAUAGUACAUAAUGAUACAAUAAGAGUUGACAUAAACUUGAUAUUACAUACUGUAGUAUAGCACAUCAUGUCAACUCCCUAAGGCAGCAGCAAGUGACUCCCUAAUUUGGUCUGGAACACAAAAUUAAACUGCAAUGAGGUAACCCCUUGUCUAGUUUAUCUUCUGAACAACACUUAGAGAAACACUUUACCUGUUUUUAAAGUUUCAUAAAGUUUAGAUUUAUAAGGCUGAAGAAUCUUCACAGCAGUUUCUCAAAGAAAGAAAAUUCAGCAAUAUAUCAGCAAAUAAUAAUGCACAGUUAACUAUAGAAAUAAGAUUCAGAAUUUCUUUAAUUCUUCAGCAGUGCUGGAGUCUUUAGUUGAGGCUUAUAACUGGAACACCAGGCAUGAAGCUGCAUCUCAUACCCUCCCUCCAGGGGGUGCCUGAGUACCCCCCAUCCAGGGGUGCCCGAGGGGUGCUCCCUGCUGCUCCCCCAGUGAUGUCACGACCACAAUACUUGAAGUUGGUUUAUAAUGUACAGGAAACUAACACAGCCAGACUCAUUGGAGAAAGUUCAAAAUCAAAUUGUGCAGGUUAGAUAAUCUGUUUGAACACUGAAGCCAUAUCCAUCAAAGUUCAUUGUGGAAGUCCAAAGGUGGGUUUAAGUGUGAAGCAAGUUCAGAAGUUGAGGAAAGCUAGAUUAGUGAUGAAGAUGUAAAGUCUUAGUUUUUGAUUUUGUUAGUAACAAAGCAGCACAAUUUAACUUGCAACAUCUCCUAUCCAGAGCCUCUCUACUAUCUUAUAAGCUUAGAAAUGUAAUUCCCACUAAAAUAUCACAAUUAAAUUCAAUGUUAAGAUUAAUGCCACCUCAGUGAUAUAAAACAGUGCAGUUCAAAACACACUACCAAAGUUCACAGAUGCUGACUACAGUAGAGUUUUGUUGAAGUUUAUAUAUUUAUUUUUCAGGGUGAGACACUCACUUGGUGUAGUGCACUUGUAACCUUCACUAGUGACCAGGAAAGCUCCAAGGAGUGGGUUCAUGAAGUGCUUAUUUAUACAUGUUAUGCUACCAAUUAUAAUCUCAGCAUUAUUGGAGCUUCUUUGGAUUACAGCAAUAAUAAUACAACAGUAAAGAAUAAACACAGCAAUCAGGGAUCUCAGCAAUCUGAACAGGACUGAAGUGGGAUGACCUCAAGACUGAAGUAAACUGCCACUAACUAGCCUAGAAGAUACAGGUUAAAGUAAGACUGUUACAGCUAAUAAUUAUAUCACAACACAUUCUCAAGUAUAGCUUUCCUCAACAGAAAGUAAUACUGAAAACAAUGCAAACCUUCUAACUGAACCUAUUCAACAAUACACAUACACUCAUCGUUAAUAAGUUCUCUCAGUACACUACCAGAUAAAAACCAAAACAACAAUAAAUAAAAUUAGAUGAAAUAAAAACUAAAUAAAAGGACUCUGGAAUUAGCUAAAUGACUGAUUGAUCUUUUAAGUGUAAGAAUAAGAAAGACUCCUCCCAAUUAACUGUUCUUUGGCAAUCCUCUCACCAUGCCUCAAGGCCAGGCUUUGAGGCUGGUGAGAGUGAGUCUACUUAAUCAAUUAUCACAAGGAAGAGUGACCUAUGUUGACCUAUGUUUGAUUAGGGACCUUCUGAGAGGGGUUACUACAGAUGUUAGCUAUGGAUUUAACUAUCUAUGUGACAGUGACUCUUUGGUAAUGAAGGAUGCAAACAAAUCUGCCACAUCCAGUGGUAUCACGCUGAGCUGUUUCACUCCUUUGCAUUCAUUAAUAAAAAAAUGAGAUGUAAAAAAAAUAUCCAUUGCAGAGUAAGAUAGCUGCAGCAGCGGAGUAAUGAAGAUCACAUGGACUAGACACAUCCCAUGCCACUCAGGGAGGCCAUGGCGAUGCUUUGCUUCUUAACUACUUAAUGACUUGUCCAUUGUCUUAGAGCCACCUUAAUCUUAACACAGCAGAGCAUACACUGUUCACAUAGAUCACCCUCAGAAGGAAUUAUGAAUAUAAAAGCAAGUAGUAUUAUACAUCCAGAGAUAAAAAAAAAAUACUCAAACCUUGCGUGUAAUCAUGAUACAUUGGCAGCGCUAAUAAUGCAGAGUUGGCAAUCUGAGUAUCAUUAAAACUGAAGGUAGAUGGUGAAGAGAACAUUGGCCUGAACAACAGCAAAGAGUGAAGCACUUCAAAAUGAAAGUCGAUUGUUAGUACGCAUUAAAUGGGCAUAUUCGGUAAUAUUCCUUCUUGAUCUAAAUUAAUACAAAACUACUUAAAGGUGCUACACGUGGGGCAUACAUAAAAUUUAUUAACAUCAUAUACACAUGAAACAUUUACAUACUAAUCAAAUAGAAAUGUACUUAAAAUGACUGACUUGCAAGCUAAUGCUUUCUGUCCUCCCUCAUGAGUGCAAGAAGCACCAUUAUCUGACUGGCUCAUGACCUUCACCCCAACACUUAUGCUGUGCUGUCCCAAGGCUCAAGCUUGGGACACCCACACCACUAACACACAAGUUAACCUCUCCCUGAGCCUCUGCCCCUAGAGACUCUCACCACCACUACGUCAGUGCUGUGCUAUCCCGAGACUCUGGACCAAGUCUCGUAAGAUGGAAGGAAACUUUGAAAGUGCACCUUGUGGCUGAGGAAUGCUAAAGGGUUGGUGAGGGAAGCUGCCUCAGUAAAGUAUCAAAGUAAAAAAUAUAUAUA